This 468-nucleotide ribosomal RNA is filed under the name uncultured bacterium. RNAcentral's name for it is "partial 16S ribosomal RNA". It matches the Rfam family "Bacterial small subunit ribosomal RNA", at positions 28 to 507 of the family's 1533-position model. The record is from RNAcentral.
GACGAACGCUGGCGGCGCGCCUAACACAUGCAAGUCGAACGGAGCUGAGAGAAGCUUGCUUUUCUUAGCUUAGUGGCGAACGGGUGAGUAACGCGUGAGUAACCUGCCCUGGAGUGGGGGACAACAGUUGGAAACGACUGCUAAUACCGCAUAAGCCCACGAUCCGGCAUCGGAUUGAGGGAAAAGGAUUUAUUCGCUUCAGGAUGGACUCGCGUCCAAUUAGCUAGUUGGUGAGGUAACGGCCCACCAAGGCGACGAUUGGUAGCCGGACUGAGAGGUUGAACGGCCACAUUGGGACUGAGACACGGCCCAGACUCCUACGGGAGGCAGCAGGGGGGGAUAUUGCACAAUGGGGGAAACCCUGAUGCAGCGACGCCGCGUGGAGGAAGAAGGUUCUCGGAUUGUAAACUCCUGUCGUUAGGGACGAUAAUGACGGUACCUAACAAGAAAGCACCGGCUAACUACGUG